UAUCAAAAGUAUAAUUUUUCCACUUGUUUCGAUUUUAUGCACAUAAUAGUCGUUCAAUUAAACAUUAAAUGCAUCGAUCACUAAAAUCGAGACGAAAACAGCCAUUUGACAAAAACAUUCAAAACAUUUUCAGACAACGGAAAACUUUUCACCAAUACAAAAAAUAGACUUGUCAAUUUGUUCACAGGUGCGGGUCGAAUUGUCUUGAAGCUAGACUAUAUCUGAUUAGUUAAAUUCUCUAUUCAUUUUUAUGAAUAAUAUUACAAAUUUCUUUAAUUUCUCGAAAAGUUCUUGUUUGUUGUCGAAAACAAUAUUUGGUGUGGAAUAAAAGCGAUUCACGGCUCCAAAUGUUUCUUUUGUACAUUCGAAUGAAAUUAGAAAAACAUUUGAAAAAGGGCUUUCUUAAAAAAAAUCCGCCGCCAUGGUUUUAAUUCCCGGUAAGCACAGAGUACAAUUUAAGUUGUCUACAUCUAUGCUCAUUUAUAUAUGUAUGUACGUAACAGCCGGAAGUGUCUUUUCUUGAUCCUUUUUGGAGGGAACUGAGUGGUGGCAAGACGAUUGCGUUGCAACUCUGCAUUGACCACUUACGAUAGUUCAAUAGUAUCACCCGAAGCACGGCCGGUUGUUGUUGUAACAUCUCUUGGGAUUGACUGAUUGAUUGGUUGACGUAAUCGUGGUAAUCGAUGUUUUGUUAUAUGUAGUUGUCUUGCAAGGUGUUUUUUACAAAUUACAUUAGAAAGGUGCAUUCCAUGAAGUGUUAUUUUUCAGAAUAGUUCAACAAAGAAGUGUAUUGUGGUGUUAAUAAUGAAGAUAUAAUGAAAUGUCAAUUAUACAAUAUAAAGUGGCUAUAAAGGGCAGUUGUGUAUUUUUUUUGUGUACGAAACUAGUGUAUUGUGUAAAUGUACAUACAUAUGUAUGUAGAGUAUCACAGAAGGAGAUGAAGUAAAUUGAAGCGAAAAAGCCUGCUUUAGGUUUGAGAUUUCCUUACGCUCGUUGAUCAAGUCCUAACGGAUCUAAUUACUUCAUCGACGCUGAGAGCUUGAUCAAUUCCGAAUUAAAGUGUAACAAAAGUUGUGCCAAAUUGAACAACACAGAAUCAAAUUUUUGAAACGAGCUUUCGGAAAACGAGCCACUAUGCGACUAUUCGAAUAUAAAUAUAUUCCAAAGACGCGAGCGAAUCACAGAUCUCGAUGCAGAAAGCCGGGUGAAACGGCUUGGCCAACGGCCAAGGUGCAGCGCCUAUCAAAGCCGGCACUGUAACCUACAGAGAAGAGAAGAGAAUGGCUGAGUCCAGCAACGCCACAGCGUCGGGAAGCUGUCCCUGUUCAAAGAAGCUUGUGGUACGACUUCAGUGAAUGAAGGAGAUGCCUCAGAGAUAAACGACUCUGCCGUCGGGUGGCACACCGUCCACAUGCACACCACUGGAACGGACGCUACCCAAACGACUGGUGGGAGAUAUCCAGGUAAUGAACUAUGGUCGAGUAUAAAAUGGAGGUAGUUCCCGUCCUUGUGCACCGCCAACUAAAGGGGGAGUGCUAAAACACUCGGAGAGAAUUGCUAUUGCGAAAUUACGGGACCUGCCCGAAAGCUCAGCCAAGGCUCGAGGGCAGACGCAGGACAGUCGGGACGAGACCGGGCAACUGGGCAUUUUCUCAUAGAGGAAAAGCAGUGAACCGCUCCUCCCAAAACUCCUGUGCUCCAUGGUUCCUACCCAGAACACGUACACAAGCACAGACCAAUAGUCAAGGUGCGCUUUCUGCGACCUACCGUGAGGCAGGCAAUAUUCCGAAGGCCCCCCUAGACCCACUAGAUCUCUGAACGCGUUCGAGUACAGUUGUGUGUUCUGGUCUCUACCGCGACACGAGCUCACAAACGUCGACCGACCUAACUUUAGCUUGCCAAUUUCGAACACAAUCUCUGCAGUCUACCGUGACGUGUGCGAUGUAUGCACUGUGGUCUGUACCGAGUCAUACAGAUGGG
Long non-coding RNA from Drosophila pseudoobscura, 1980 nucleotides. RefSeq lists it as uncharacterized. The record is from RefSeq and is a predicted model, not a curated record. The transcript has 3 exons. Lineage: Eukaryota; Metazoa; Arthropoda; Insecta; Diptera; Drosophilidae.